RNAcentral lists this ribosomal RNA (788 nucleotides) under Kocuria sp. RNAcentral's name for it is "bacterial SSU rRNA". It matches the Rfam family "Bacterial small subunit ribosomal RNA", at positions 56 to 853 of the family's 1533-position model. Lineage: Bacteria; Bacillati; Actinomycetota; Actinomycetes; Micrococcales; Micrococcaceae. The record is from RNAcentral.
UGCAAGUCGAACGAUGAUGCCCAGCUUGCUGGGCGGAUUAGUGGCGAACGGGUGAGUAAUACGUGAGUAACCUGCCCUUGACUCUGGGAUAAGCCUGGGAAACUGGGUCUAAUACUGGAUACUACCUCUUACCGCAUGGUGGGUGGUGGAAAGGGUUUUACUGGUUUUGGAUGGGCUCACGGCCUAUCAGCUUGUUGGUGGGGUAAUGGCUCACCAAGGCGACGACGGGUAGCCGGCCUGAGAGGGUGACCGGCCACACUGGGACUGAGACACGGCCCAGACUCCUACGGGAGGCAGCAGUGGGGAAUAUUGCACAAUGGGCGGAAGCCUGAUGCAGCGACGCCGCGUGAGGGAUGACGGCCUUCGGGUUGUAAACCUCUUUCAGUAGGGAAGAAGCGAGAGUGACGGUACCUGCAGAAGAAGCGCCGGCUAACUACGUGCCAGCAGCCGCGGUAAUACGUAGGGCGCAAGCGUUGUCCGGAAUUAUUGGGCGUAAAGAGCUCGUAGGCGGUUUGUCGCGUCUGCUGUGAAAGCCCGGGGCUCAACCCCGGGUCUGCAGUGGGUACGGGCAGACUAGAGUGCAGUAGGGGAGACUGGAAUUCCUGGUGUAGCGGUGAAAUGCGCAGAUAUCAGGAGGAACACCGAUGGCGAAGGCAGGUCUCUGGGCUGUUACUGACGCUGAGGAGCGAAAGCAUGGGGAGCGAACAGGAUUAGAUACCCUGGUAGUCCAUGCCGUAAACGUUGGGCACUAGGUGUGGGGGACAUUCCACGUUUUCCGCGCCGUAGCU